This 6480-nucleotide long non-coding RNA is filed under the name Mytilus galloprovincialis (Mediterranean mussel). Lineage: Eukaryota; Metazoa; Mollusca; Bivalvia; Mytilida; Mytilidae. The record is from RNAcentral.
CGCUCUGCAUUUGAGCAACUUCCUGUACUUCAAAGUUGGAGAAAAUGCUUAUUGCUGAUUUCCUUGAUAAUCUUAAAUCUAUUUUAUGAAACAGAAAACGUUAUUUAAGUGGUGCAUGAACUGUUGCAACCAAGCAUAGAACUUGUUAAACCUAUAAAUUGACACAAAUUAUCAAUCAAGGUACUGGUGGUUGAAUCAGGAUGUUUAUUUAUUUUGUUGAAUAUUUAUGAGAUACAUUUCUGUGUUCAGUUGGGGAAGUGAAAUAAGUAGCUAUAAGGAAGAAAAACAAGUUCAUCCAUCUUCUUACUUUUGGGUAAUCACUUGACAAUUUUUGGUUACAUUUGUGAACUUAUCUAAAAAAUAACAACAUGUAAAUAUUCAUUACUUAUAUCAAGGUAACUCUUUCACUUUUACUGCAUUACAACUUCCAUUUGCAUUAGCAUGACUGCCCAUCUUGCAAUUUUACUGUUUUUUGGUUAAGAAUUGUGAACAUUGUAAAUAUUUUAAUGAUGGGGCAAUUUCAUCAUGUUCUGACAUAUAAAAACUUGCUUCAAGAUUUUGAUUGAAAUGAUUUUUUUUUAUUUCCUGUUUUGAAAAUUAAUGUAAAAUAUUCUGCAUUAUGCUUAGUCCAAAUUGUGUGCUAUGUAAGUAAUGUAAAAAACCAAUGGCAGCUUUAUAUGACAAAUGUUUGUUGGUACAUUUGUUAUAGACAAGCGGAAGUCAUAAAAAAGACGACUAUGAAAUUAGUGCACUUUCCCGAACAUUUCUUAUGUCAUUAUGCUCAUGUUAUGUCACAGUAGGAACGGAUUGUCCUGAUGUCACUAAGGCUGGUUGACCUGGGGUUAAACAUUACAACUCAUUCAUAAAAAAACAUCUUGAGAUUGGUGUAUGUCAUAUAUAUGUUUCCUGGACAGUUUCAUGCUUGCUAUUGCUUUUUGAUUCCCAUAGAAAAUCCAUGAUGUUCCAGUUACAUGCUGUUAAAACUCACCAGUGAAAAUAUCUAAUGCUUCAAAUCCCAAGUCCAAGUGAUUUUGAUUGUUGAAUGACAUCCAGAGAUCAAGCAUCACAAUAACCUCAAGUGGAGUGAUACAGAAUCCAAUAACAAUUUUGUUUAUAUGAGCACUUAGUCCUAAGUAACAGAAAACAAUGAUAAUUAAAAUCAAAAUCAAUAAACUUAUCAAUUAAAUUUGAAAUUAUUAACUUUUUUCAACAUCAUUUUAAUUUCAUAUUAUUUAUAUUAUGAAUAUGAUUAACAUCAGAGCAUUACCCUGCAUUGCCAUUUUGACUGAUGUUGCCAUGUACACAUGUAGUAGUAUAGUAUUACAUCUCCCAUACAUUUGUAUAUACUAUGUAUUUAGAUACCUAAAAGGUUUAUUAAGAUAAUGGACUUCCUCCCCUUUCAUACAUAUACAUGUACAAUGUACAUACAUUUAUAAGAACUGUCCUACAAUGUAAAUUAAUAGGAUAGAAACUGUUUCUGGCAGAUUUGGGAUAUUAAAUUUAAAAAAAUAAAUAAGAUGUGGUAUGAUUGCCAAUGCGACAAUUCUCCUCUAGAGACCAAAUGAUGUGGAAGUUAGUGUAGCAACUGCAUAUGUGGCCUUCAACAAUGAGUAAAUCUCAUACUGUAUUAAAAGUUAUAAAAGGCACUGAAAUACUGAAAUGACAAAUGUAAGACAAUUCAAACUUUGAAACUAAUGGCUUAAGUGGCCAGAAUGUGGCUUGGUAAAACAUUGGUGAUUACAAACAAAGAACAAAAACAAAUGUAACAGUGGCGUUGUUUUGUUCAUAAUUAAUGCUUUUGAAUGGGGGCAUAUGGUUGGAACCCACUUUUGAAAAUGGCUGGAUUUGCACCUGUAUAUAAUAUGGUAUCAGGGGUGUGGAAAUGCUAUGCCCGACUCGCCCGACUCAUACAUUUUAACACCCGGACAAGUAAUUAUUUUUGUCUUGGUUGCCCGUGGACAAGUAAAAUAAUAUAUAAGACAAAGUUCAAAUUCAGCACAUAGGAUUAAUUUCAAAACGUAUAAAGAUGUUUAAUUUAUGUAAAAGAAGUAAAAACAUAUUUUCAAGUAUAAACAUCAAUGUUCAUGACGAUAAAUAUUACAUAACUCCGGAAAUAGAUCGAUUACCAAAAUGAGUAAAAAUAAGUAUGCAAACAGAGUCGCGUAAUAUUGCAUUGGCUUUGUCCAUUGACCCAGGAUCGUCGAUUAUGUUUUAUCUACUAUUCACCGGAAGUGUCAUUUCUUAAGAUUUUGAAUCGAGAUUCAGAUUGAUGAAUAUUUUUAAAAUAAAACAUUGGGCAAGCAAGACAAAAAGAAUGACGAGUCUAGUCGAAAGCAUGAAACGCAAACGGAGAUGGCCAAGUGUAUAUAAAAAAGAAUACGGAAGCGAGAAUAUCAGACAUCGUGAAUAUCAGAUUACCCCUUGGAAAGAAAUUCAGAUAAUAAGUUUUGUUUUUGUCUUUUUUAUAGAUCAAAGUCAACCUUAUGUGUUGUCCAAGUGGUAAAUAGAAGUGUUCAACUACCAAGAAAAAAACAAGUGUGUUAGUUGAUAGAAAUAAUUAGUUAAUCUAUUAUUUAGUUUCCAUUUCUUAACUCACUAUCCUCUAAAUUUAGUAUAUGUAGUGUACCUACUGGCUACAAUUUUUAUUAAAAAACAAUGCUGCAAACUUGUCCUUUUCAUGUCAUUUCAUUCAGUUGAUUUGCUUUUGAGUUUCUGUCCCAUUGAUGUAAUAAACCCAUUUCCAACAUUCCUAAAUUUUUACACAUAUAAACCAAUUGAUUUCACUGAUUUGUUUGGGAUGCAAAACCGUGCUAAGAAUCAUAUAUUAGCUAACAAUACUUUAAAUACUACAAUAUUAAUUUGGACCAUCAGGGCAAGUAACUUUUUUUCCGGACAAGUAAAAUUUACAGUUUUACUUGCCCAGGGACAAGUGCUCACAACAAAUAUUUCCACACCCCUGGGUAUUAUGCAACAAACAGCAACAACUGAAUAACAGGAUUCUGACUUGGGACAGACUCAUUCAUUCACUGUGAUCUGGUUAUACAUGUUUGCAUGCAUUCAAUCCUUACCUUAGCUGCAGCUAUAACUUUAUCAAAACUUCAUGGAGGUUUGUAUACAUGUAUGAAAUGGUUUUUUUCCUGAUGAAAGGACACUUUUUUUUUGCAGUUACAUGUAUGUUGAAAAAGUAUAAAAACAAACAUAUUCUGAAAAUAGGAAAUUAAAGAAGUUUUAUUGCAAAAAAAUACUUUAAAAAGACGCCCUCUUUCCAUCACAAAACAAAGUUUUAAUAGUAUUUUUUUUAUUCUCCUGGUUACCCCACUACCACCUCCAUGUGGUGAACAAGGUACAUAGGAAGCAUAUAUAGCAGUCAAAACUGGUCUUUUUUAAAUCAAUAAAUUUACCUCUAAAUUGGGCCUAUAUAUAUUACAUACAGGUAUUUUGAAUUGUACAAAUGAAAUGCCGAUUGGCUAACAUGCAAAACACUGUUUCAACCGUUGCCAAUGCAAUGGAUGAUGUUGUAAAUGCUGAAGACAUGGCCACAAACAGCCUUAUAAAAAGUAAAAAUGUUUUGUUGUUUUUCCCCAUACAUUACAAACAAUGCAACUAAUGAUUUUUAUGCCCCACGUACAACAGUAGAGGGGAAUUAUGUUUUCUGGUCUGUGCGUCCAUUCGUCUGUCUAUCCCACUUUAGGUUAAAGUUAAAUUUAGUUUUUGGUAAAGGUAGUUUUUGAUGAAGUUAAAGUCCAAUCAACUUGAAUCUUAGUACACAUGUUCUCUAUGAUAUGAUCUUUCUAAUUUUAAUGCCAAAUUAGAGUUAUUACCCCAAUUUCACAGUCCACUGAACAUAGAAAAUGAUAGUGCGAGCGGGGCAUCCGUGUACUGGGGACACAUUCAUGUUAAUUACUGCGUCACCAUAAGUUCAGUUGAUUGUGAAUGCUUUACCAUGGGGACUAAAUCUUUUCCCGUAAUCAAGUUUCAGAUUUGAGUAAUAGCAUUUUGCAUGUGUCUAAAUUACUGUAAAUUCAGAAAUUAUUGCGAUUUUGUCAUUUUAGACUUAUUUGUGAUUUUAAUUUUUAUGAUUUACAUGUAGAGAAAAAUCCUGUUUAAAUCAUAUAAAAUAUUUCAAAAUGCGAGUUUGAAUUAUUGCGUUUACAACUCUGUCGCAUUUUUCACAAUAAUAAAAACCUUGCAAUAAUACCUGAAUUUACAGUAAAUUAUGACUUUCUUUCAUUUGAUAUUCUUAAAAUUCUUUUCAGACACAAAUUGAUUGAGAUGCCGGGUGCUUUAUUUGUAUACCAGGCACUGCAUGACUUCACGCCUUCGGAACAAACCUCUGAUCCUGAUGAUGAAGAAAUCCAGAUAGAAAAAGGCGAUACUCUUGAAGUUAAAGGUCCUAUUGAUAAUUUUGAACAUCCAAAUAUUUGGUUGAAAGGGAAGAAUGUUACCAAAGGUACAGAAGGACUGUUUCCUGAGACAUUUGUACAGUUUAUUAAAACUAUAGAACAGUCUGAAGAGCCAGUGGAGGGUAAGUACUAUAGAAUGAUUCAAUAUGAUAGUUACUUGUGCAAGUUCACAGACAUCAGACUAAUUGAAAAGAUUUAGCCCAUACAUUAUGAUAAAAUCAUGAUGUUUCAGCAUUAAAUCAUAUUUAAAAGGCCUGCUCUCAAGGUCAAAUAUUCUUGCUAUAUUUAAAUAACGUUUUCCUGAAAUUUUGAAACUCAGUUUUGGUCAUCUGUUGAGGAUCUGACAGCUGGAUAUUUUUUUCUAACUUUCAGAUUUAUUCCAGACAUCAUGACAUACUGUAAACAAACCUGUAUCAACGGUUGAAGAUUUUGUACAUUCUGUGUUAAUUUAUGUUCAUUAUUUUUACUCCUAUACCAAAAAUAUGUUUUAAUCAUGGUUUUUAGGAUAUGUUUUGUCUGGAAAAUACAAUCAUUUCAGGACCCUUGAAAGUUGAAGAAGACUGCACUAGAGAACUGGCCCUUGUCAUCUAUUAUUAGCUCACCUGGCCCGAAUGGCCAAGUGAGCUUUUCUCAUCACUUUGCGUCCGUCGUCUGUCAUUGUCGUCAUCCAUUGUCAUUAACUUUUACAAAAAUCUUCUCCCCUGAAACUUCUUGGCCAAAUUAAACCAAACUUGACCACAAUCAUCAUUGGGGUAUCUAGUUUAAAACAUGUGUCAACCAACCAAGAUAGCCGCCAUGGCUACAUAUAUAGUCAAAUUUUAACAAUUUUUUGUAAAUUUUUGUAAUGUUUUACAAAAAUCAUCUCCUCUGAAGCUACAUAGACAUAUUUAACCAAACUUGUCCACAAUCAUCAUAAGGGUAUCUAGUUUAAAAAGUGUUUUUGAUGACCUCGCCUGUAAACCAAGAUGACCACCAUGGCUAAAAUAGUUCAUUGGGGUAAAAUGCAGUUUUUGGUUCAUAUCUCUAAAAACCAAAGCAUUUGCAGAAAAUCUGCUGUAGAUAAAAUUGUUUAUUAGGUCAAGAUCUAUCAGCCCUGAAAUUUUCAGACCAAUAGGGCAACUUGUUGUUGGGCUGCUGCCCCUGAAUUGGUAAUUUUAAUAAUUUUGCAGCUUUUGUUGAUUAUCUGAAUAUUAUUAUAGAUAGAGAUAAACUGUAAAUAGCAAUAAUGUACAGCAAAAUAAGAACUACAAAUAAGUCCGCUUGACCAAAGUGGUCAAUUGACCCCUUAAGAAGUUAUUGUCCUUUAUAGUCAAUUUUUAACAAUUUUUACAAAAUAUUUUCCACUGUCACUUCUGGGCCAAUUUCAUUAUAGAUAGAGAUUAUUGUAAGCAGCAAGAUUGUUUAAUAAAUUAAGAUCUACAAACACAUCACCAACACCAAAACACAAUUUUGUCAUGAAUCCAUCUGUUUUCUUUGUUUAAUAUGCACAUAGACCAAGGUGAGCGACACAGGCUCUUUAGAGCCUCUAGUUUAACAUAUAACGAAAAUAUGUGUGUGUAUAUAUAUAUAUAUAUGUAUAAUAUACUUUUUUUUGUACAGUUGGUAGUGCAAUGAUCACACAAUCAUUUUUCAUAUUGAAUUUAAUAUUUUCUUCAAUGUUAUUGAAUAUAAUUUUUUCGUAUUAAAUAUAUAUUAUGUCCAACUGCAAUUACAAUUGAUUCAGAACAGCUGAAUUGUCAACAGGCACAUUUGAGAGUAACAGUAAGAGUUCCUGGACUGCAAGAACAGAAACGAAACAAAAGUUUUCUUUGAUAGUUGAAGUUUUAUCUUUGUUAGUUAUAUAUGAUACAAUUACUAAUUAUAUAACUCUGUGCUAUUUUAAAUCAUUAUGCAUAUAACUCAUACUCUUGCCAAUGAUAAUUUUCACAUACCAAGUAUAUUAUUAUGUUUAAAUUUCAGGUCAUUUCAUCAGUGUUUGAAAUGUGAACUGCUUUAGAAGUCAGAAAUAAUGUUAUUGUUACUAGAACUAUUCAGUUUGCGAAGCAUAGCAAUUAUUCUAAUCUUGGCCUUUUUUUUU